This 500-nucleotide ribosomal RNA is filed under the name uncultured dinoflagellate. RNAcentral describes it as "SSU rRNA". It matches the Rfam family "Eukaryotic small subunit ribosomal RNA", at positions 33 to 532 of the family's 1831-position model. Lineage: Eukaryota; Dinophyceae. The record is from RNAcentral.
GGGCGCUGUCUCAGAUUAGCCAUGCAUGUCUCAGUAUAAGCUUCUAUACGGCGAAACUGCGAAUGGCUCAUUAAAACAGUUAUAGUUUAUUUGGUGGUCAGCAAUUACAUGGAUAACCGUGGUAAUUCUAGAGCUAAUACAUGCGCCCAAACCCGACUUCGUGGAAGGGUUGUGUUUAUUAGAUACAGAACCAACCCAGGCUCCGCCUGGCCUUGAGGUGAUUCAUAAUAACCGAACGAAUCGCAUGGCUAUGCCGGCGAUAGACCAUUCAAGUUUCUGACCUAUCAGCUAUCGUCGGUAGGGUAUUGGCCUACCGUGGCAAUGACGGGUAACGGAGAAUUAGGGUUCGAUUCCGGAGAGGGAGCCUGAGAAACGGCUACCACAUCUAAGGAAGGCAGCAGGCGCGCAAAUUACCCAAUCCUGACGCAGGGAGGUAGUGACAAGAAAUAACAAUACAGGGCAUACAUGUCUUGUAAUUGGAAUGAGUAAACUUUAAAUCA